AAACGACUCUCGGCAACGGAUAUCUCGGCUCACGCAUCGAUGAAGAACGUAGCAAAAUGCGAUACUUGGUGUGAAUUGCAGAAUCCCGUGAACCAUCGAGUUUUUGAACGCAAGUUGCGCCCAAGGCCAUCCGGCUGAGGGCACGUCUGCCUGGGCGUCAC
RNAcentral lists this ribosomal RNA (161 nucleotides) under Pseudopodospermum mucidum. RNAcentral describes it as "Scorzonera mucida ribosomal RNA". It matches the Rfam family "5.8S ribosomal RNA". From Rfam's summary of the family: 5.8S ribosomal RNA (5.8S rRNA) is a component of the large subunit of the eukaryotic ribosome. It is transcribed by RNA polymerase I as part of the 45S precursor that also contains 18S and 28S rRNA. RNAcentral also lists the same sequence under 1 other name. Lineage: Eukaryota; Viridiplantae; Streptophyta; Magnoliopsida; Asterales; Asteraceae. The record is from RNAcentral.